CUCUGAGGGAGGACAGCAAACCAAGAGAAGAGUCUGCAGCAGAAGAAUUUUUCAAAUGGAAUCCACCAACAGAAACGGUGUCGUUGCAUCCACUCAAGGUGGUCGUCUGCAGGAUGGAAUCUCACGGCAUUUGUCUCAAUGGAACGGUCUUCAAAUGGCCAUCCAAAACCAGUGGGGCGGCCGGGAUUCUCAUCAGAAGUCUCUUCAACUAGCCGCAGAUAUCUUCUCUUGGUUCUCAGAGUCCAAAGCACCACUUUGCGUGGAAGAUUUAGAAAAUUUGCUCCACGAAAGCAUGUUGCUUUCUUUCAACACGGAGAUAGAGGAUGGCAGCAUCGAACAGGUUGCAGAAGAAUUGAUGAUUAUGCAUGAAGACUGCCAGCAAGGAAACCACUGAUCACAGUAAGGAAAUCUAAAGUUCAUCCAACUUUUCCGGCAAAGGCUUAUAUAUCCUCAGUGCAGACAGCUUCCAGGUAUGAGAGUAAAAAUGAGAACGAGAUGGAGAUGGAGGACCUAACCAUUCCCUAUCGCAAGCAUACAUGGCAUUCAACAUGGAUCGAGUCCUUGCGGCAUGAACACAAAUCAAGUGGAUGACCCCAAUAAAUAUUGCAAGCUGAAGAUAGGAGGAAACUCUUGUAACUUCUUUAACAAUUAAAAAAUUUUAUCAUACAAGUAUUAUAAAUAUUAAAAAAGUUUUUUAAAAUCAUUAUCAAACAUAAUUUUAUACUACUUGUUUCCUCGAUUCUAGAUAGUGACUAAAGGAAUGACGUCGAAUUGCCGAAGACUUGUAAUUUGUGUUGAUGCCUGAUUUUCUAUGGCUUGUUUCCACAAUUCUAGACAGUGGUUUCUUUUGAUUCUAUAAAA
This is an RNA transcript of Vitis riparia (riverbank grape), 861 nucleotides long. It is a transcript of the gene named pre-rRNA-processing protein TSR2 homolog, with no coding region annotated. The transcript is spliced from 4 exons. Lineage: Eukaryota; Viridiplantae; Streptophyta; Magnoliopsida; Vitales; Vitaceae. The record is from RefSeq and is a predicted model, not a curated record.